RNAcentral lists this ribosomal RNA (849 nucleotides) under uncultured bacterium. RNAcentral describes it as "bacterial SSU rRNA". It matches the Rfam family "Bacterial small subunit ribosomal RNA", at positions 537 to 1383 of the family's 1533-position model. The record is from RNAcentral.
AGCGUUACUNGGAAUCACUGGGCGUAAAGGACGCGUAGGCGGAUUAUCAAGUNUCUUGUGAAAUCUAACGGCUUAACCGUUAAACUGCUUGGGAAACUGAUAAUCUAGAGUAAGGGAGAGGCAGAUGGAAUUCUUGGUGUAGGGGUAAAAUCCGUAGAGAUCAAGAAGAAUACCCAUUGCGAAAGCGNUCUGCUGGAACUUAACUGACGCUAAUGCGUGAAAGCGUGGGGAGCAANCAGGAUUAGAUACCCUGGUAGUCCACGCCCUAAACGAUGUAUACUAGUUGUUGCUUCGCUAGUCGAGGCAGUAAUGCACCUAACGGAUUAAGUAUACCGCCUGGGGAGUACGGUCGCAAGAUUAAAACUCAAAGGAAUAGACGGGGACCCGCACAAGCGGUGGAGCAUGUGGUUUAAUUCGAAGAUACGCGAAGAACCUUACCCGGACUUGAUAUCUAACAAAUCAUCCAGAGAUGGAAGAGUGUCUGCUUGCAGAAAUGUUAAGACAGGUGCUGCACGGCUGUCGUCAGCUCGUGUCGUGAGAUGUUGGGUUAAGUCCCGCAACGAGCGCAACCCACGUCAUUAGUUGCUAACGGUUCGGCCGAGCACUCUAAUGAGACUGCCUUCGCAAGGAGGAGGAAGGUGUGGACGACGUCAAGUCAUCAUGGCCCUUAUGUCCGGGGCGACACACGUGCUACAAUGGCGUAUACAAUGAGACGCAAUAUCGCGAGAUGGAGCAAAUCUAUAAAAUACGUCCCAGUUCGGAUUGGAGUCUGCAACUCGACUCCAUGAAGCCGGAAUCGCUAGUAAUCGUAGAUCAGCCAUGCUACGGUGAAUACGUUCCCGGGUCUUG